CCGGCAAGAAGCUGAACAGUUAAACAUUUUAGGUGAUAAACAAUGGCCAGGGCUGCCUACAGGAUCAACACACCUGCAUCCCAACACUAGGAAGGCCGAGGCUGAGGAGUCCUCUAAGUUUGAGGCCAACCUGGACCCUGUCUCCAAAAAGUAACAGGAGAGACACUUCUGAGAACAAGGGA
Molecule: long non-coding RNA, 182 nt
Organism: Perognathus longimembris pacificus (Pacific pocket mouse)
Lineage: Eukaryota; Metazoa; Chordata; Mammalia; Rodentia; Heteromyidae
Exons: 3
Source: RefSeq, a predicted model, not a curated record